RNAcentral lists this ribosomal RNA (305 nucleotides) under uncultured bacterium. RNAcentral's name for it is "partial 16S ribosomal RNA". It matches the Rfam family "Bacterial small subunit ribosomal RNA", at positions 508 to 807 of the family's 1533-position model. The record is from RNAcentral.
ACAGCAGUAGCCGCGGGAAUACGAAGGGGGCUAGCGUUGCUCGGAAUUACUGGGCGUAAAGGGCGCGUAGGCGGACAGUUCAGUCGGGGGUGAAAGCCCGGGGCUCAACCUCGGAAUUGCCUUUGAUACUGGCGAUCUUGAGUAUGGGAGAGGUGUGUGGAACUCCGAGUGUAGAGGUGAAAUUCGUAGAUAUUCGGAAGAACACCAGUGGCGAAGGCGACACACUGGCCCAUUACUGACGCUGAGGCUCGAAAGCGUGGGGAGCAAACAGUAUUAGAUACCCCUGUAGUCCCUGUCUCUUAUAC